RNAcentral lists this transfer RNA (73 nucleotides) under Rattus norvegicus (Norway rat). It matches the Rfam family "tRNA". Rfam says of the family: Transfer RNA (tRNA) molecules are approximately 80 nucleotides in length. Their secondary structure includes four short double-helical elements and three loops (D, anti-codon, and T loops). Further hydrogen bonds mediate the characteristic L-shaped molecular structure. tRNAs have two regions of fundamental functional importance: the anti-codon, which is responsible for specific mRNA codon recognition, and the 3' end, to which the tRNAs corresponding amino acid is attached (by aminoacyl-tRNA synthetases). tRNAs cope with the degeneracy of the genetic code in two manners: having more than one tRNA (with a specific anti-codon) for a particular amino acid; and 'wobble' base-pairing, i.e. permitting non-standard base-pairing at the 3rd anti-codon position. The record is from Rfam by way of RNAcentral. Lineage: Eukaryota; Metazoa; Chordata; Mammalia; Rodentia; Muridae.
UGGGGUGUAGCUCAGAUGGUAGAGUGUGUGCCUAGGAUGCAUGAAACUUUGGGUUUGAUCCCCAACACUGCAC